AAAAUACAAACUGCAGGGGAUCUUUCUGGGAUCUCUUCUCUUGAGAAUUGGGAAGAUAGACCCGCUCCCAUGUUUAACACCUCAGAAAAGAAGGCGUGGUGAACUCUCCAGGCCAAGGAAUUGGAAGAUCUCCCCAAAACUCCUUUGGUACACGCUGCAGGGCCAACGAUUCCUCUGCUCUGCCCUGUCGGUGCUGCUUUGUCUCAUCUGGGUCCCCAGAAACUGUCAGCGAAAGCCAGGGAAUAAAAUCUCUGAGCAGUU
Molecule: long non-coding RNA, 261 nt
Organism: Pipra filicauda (Wire-tailed manakin)
Lineage: Eukaryota; Metazoa; Chordata; Aves; Passeriformes; Pipridae
Exons: 2
Source: RefSeq, a predicted model, not a curated record